AAUUCUCAACCUCACCAGUUUUCUGAACUGCGUCGAGGCUUGGAUGUGGGGGUUUGUGCAGGCUGCCUCAGCGCGGUCUGCUCCCCUGAAAUGCAUUAGCGAGGUUCAUACUGAGCUUCCGUCUAUUGGUGUGAUAAUUAUCUACGCCGUGGACAGGGUUCAGACUCGCUUCUAACCGUCCCUCGGGACAAUACCCUUGACA
Molecule: unclassified non-coding RNA, 202 nt
Filed under: uncultured Coprinellus
Lineage: Eukaryota; Fungi; Basidiomycota; Agaricomycetes; Agaricales; Psathyrellaceae
Description: sequence contains ITS2
Source: RNAcentral